Long non-coding RNA from Callorhinus ursinus (northern fur seal), 671 nucleotides. RefSeq lists it as uncharacterized. Lineage: Eukaryota; Metazoa; Chordata; Mammalia; Carnivora; Otariidae. The record is from RefSeq and is a predicted model, not a curated record.
GGGCUGCUUGUGGGCUUGAGAAUUCAUCAUGCAUUAUGGACGCAGAUUUCUGGGUUCCAUCCUAGACGUCAGGAGUUGGCACCCGGGGCCCAGGGAAGUUUGAGGGGUGCCGAGGUGGAGGGAUGAGGUCACACGGGGAGGUCCCACCAAUAGGAGACCUUGAACAUGGGAUGGCUGCCAUAGCAACAUGACUUCCACCUGGAAGGCAUCAAGGAGGGAGCUGGGCUCUGUUGCGGGGUUUACCUGAUAAGUUUUUAAAAACCUCAAUGUCCCAGACCAAUCGAUCAGUAUCCUUAGAAGGGGCACCCAGAGCUGAGAACCUCUGAUUUGUCAGGAACUUCUGCCCAGUGUCCUGUGUAGAGUAUAAUGAGCUCUCUUUUCUUACAGUGAACUGGUGAGGAUCCAUAUGCAAAAAUGUAUAAUUAAGCCAGAAAGGACAUCCAGCUACUGCCCUGCUGAGUUUAUACACUGGCGACAGCUCCCCGCACCAGGAAAUUCAUGGUACUUAAGAAAACAAAAGUGUCCGUCUGGUCUUCAAAGCCCGAAUGGUGAGGCUGGAGAAACCCAGGCUCUGGAGAGCCAAUGACCAUCUCUAGGACAUGCUGUGGCUCAAAGGACUCGAGGUUCUAACGGCAGUUUUGCAAGAGCCUUCAAGCGAAGUUCAAGUGAAG